This is a non-coding RNA of Cicer arietinum (chickpea), 225 nucleotides long. The record is from RefSeq and is a predicted model, not a curated record. Lineage: Eukaryota; Viridiplantae; Streptophyta; Magnoliopsida; Fabales; Fabaceae.
UCCGUUUGGUGCAGAUUCUGAAGCAGGUGGAGGUGGAGAAAUGGGAGGGACAUCACACGAGCCAAAUGUAGCAUUUUCCUGAACAUAUUAAUUCACAGUUAAAUACAAUAAGAUAGAUCGAGCAAAUGGAGCUUGUCUAUGUCCUAUCUAAAUAUAGUUUUUUUGUACUCGGUAAUUCUAAAAAUUAGCCAAAUUCUGCGAUCAAUCGUGAUGUUUUUGUGUGCA